Molecule: long non-coding RNA, 4991 nt
Filed under: Canis lupus familiaris (dog)
Lineage: Eukaryota; Metazoa; Chordata; Mammalia; Carnivora; Canidae
Description: lncRNA (ENSCAFG00000050779.1)
Source: RNAcentral
UUUUUUUUUAAGAUCUUAUUUAUUUAUUCAUGAGAGGCAGAGACAUAGGCAGAGGAGAAGCAGGCUCCCUGUGGGGAGCCCAAUGCAGAACUUGAUCCAGGACUCUGGGAUCAUGACCUGAGCUGGAGGCAGACGCUCAACCACUGACCCACCCAGGCAUCCCGUAUGUGGUCUUUUUGACUGGCUUCUUUCACUUAGCAUGUUUCUGAGGUUCAUCCAGGUUAUAGCAUGUAUCAGUAUUUCACCCUUUUGAUUGCCAAAUAAUAUUCCAUUAUAUAAAUAUACCUCAUUUUGUUUAUCUGUUUAUCAGUUGAAGGAUGCUGGGCUAUUCUCAAUUUUUAACUAUUAUUAAUAAUAUUGCUAUAAACAUUUUUGGGCAAGUUUUCUUUCAUUUCCCUUGCAUAUAUACCAUGUAGGAGUGGAACUGCUGGGUUAUAUGGUAACUUUAUGGUUAGCAUUUUGAUGAAGUGCCAAAUUGUACUCCAAAGUGGCUGUACGAUUUUGCAUUCCCACCAGCAGUACAUGAGAGCUCCAAUUUCUCCAUAUCCUUGCCAACACUUGUUAUAUAGUCCAUCUUUUUUUUUUAUUAUAGUCAUCCUAGUUGAUGUAAAGUGGUAUCUCAUGUGGUUUUUACCUAUAUGCCAUUAACUAAUUGUGUUAAGCAUUUCUUCAUGUACUUAUUGGCCACCAUUUCUAUAUCUUCAAAGAAAUGUCCACAUAAGUCCUCUGCCCAUUUUUAAUUGGGUUAUUUGGGUUUUUUGUUGUUGUUAUUGUUGAGUUGUAAGAGUUCUUCAUAUAUUCUGGAAACAAUUCACUGAAAUAAUGUGAUUCACAAAUUUUCCUCCUAUUCUGAGUUGUCUUUUCAUAUGUUUUUGAUGGUGUCCUCCGAAGCACAAAUUUUUAGAAAAAUAUUUUACUUACUUAUUUGAAAAAGAAAGAGAGAGGAUUACAAGAGAGUGAACAUGAGUAGGGGGAAGGGCAGAGGGAGAGGAAGAAGCAGACUCCCCUCUGAACAGGGAGCCUGACAUGGGGCUCGAUCCCAGGACCCUGGGGAUAGAGCUCAGCAGUUUGGGAAGAUGAAGAGUCCUGCAGAUGGAUGGUGGCAAGAGCUGUACAACAAUGUCACCGUAUUUAAUGCCACUGAACUGCACCCUUUAAAAAUAGUUAAAAUAGUAAAACAAAAACAAAAACUCCAAGGGCAGCAGUUGGUUAGUUUCCCAUCUUUGAGUUUUGGUUUCAUCACCUCACUCUUUCCUGGCAGCUUCGAUGCCAAUAGGUAACAUGGGCCCACAGCACAAAAAAGGCUCCAGCAGUCUAACAACAAGCAGUCUUCUGAGUUAAAUGAGACAGCAAAUGGGAAAGGCAGUUCCUUCUAUUGACUUCCAUAUUUGAGGAGAGUUUUAUAUAACGUGAACAUCGGGGAUUCGAACAGGCUGAUAAUAAGGAUGCUGCACCCCAGAGGAACUGGCAGAUUAGGAAUAAUUUUCAAUCCCCUGCACAGGAUUCGAUCUAACUCAACCUUUCUGAAUGAGAAUUCGGUAAAGGUUGCAUUGGACAACAAUGCAACCAGUCUGACUACCUGGGAGGCUCUGGUUUCUUCCCUCUGACACAAUAACACAUUUCUCAACUCUAUCAAAAGCCCGAACCACUUAUUUAUCCAUUAAAUAUGCUUAUUUAUCCAUUAAAUAUGAAAAGAAGAUGAUUAUGCAAUUUGGGAUCCAGACAUCAUUUUUCUGAAUGAGUUUAUGCAUAUGCUUGUUUACAACGAUCUCAUUUUUCUCCUGACUGCAUGUAAAAGAUCAUUGCAGUCUAAUAGUACACAAAUGUAGUCAUACUGUGAAAUCAUUAACCGCAGAGCUGUCCUGCUGAGAAGUAAGAGGAAAUGUCACAUAUGACCAAAGGCUAAAUUAUCUACCAAAUCAAGUCUUUGAAAAUUACAGACACAUUUAGUAGGCGCAAGACUAUACCAGAGUAAGAAAAAGUUCUAGUAAAGUGACUAUGAGAAUAAUCUAUGCUAAAAAGAGCUUCAAAAAUAGCAGCAAAAAAAACAUCUUUUGGGCAGCAACAGUUCAUUUAAUAACAAAUACUUAUUAAGCAUCUACUAUAUGCCAGGCACCACGCUAGGUUUUAGAAGUAUGAUAAAGAGUAAGACUCAGUCCCACCACAGGACCUCAGUGUCUAACAUGGGAGACAAAUAAGUAACAUAAGAUAUGAUAAAUGCAAUGACAAAAGAUGCACAAGGUGCUAUGAUGGCAACAGGAUCGUGGAAUGGCAUGGAGAAAUGAAGGAAGACUUGCUGGAGGGGAGAACUUAGGGUGCACAGAAGUAGGUAGGCCAAGAAGGUAGAGAGAGGGCUGGUGCUCCUAGGAGAGAGAACAGCAGGUGCAAGGAGAUGGCUUAGCAACUACCAGGUAAGACGCUGGGCUCUGGAGUCAGGAAGACCCAGGAUGCAGUGCCACUCCACCACUUGUUAAAUGAGUGACCCAACAAGUUAAUCUUUUCCAGCUUCAAUUUUUUUAUCUGUAAAAUGGCGAUAGCAAACUGUAGCUCCUUACAGGGAACUAAAUGAGGUAAGCACAGAAGGAAAGCUUGAUAAACAAUAGCCAUUAUCAUCAAGAUGAUUUUAACAGGAAGGUGUAUUAUAAGAAUUGAGAAAAGCAUUUGACCCUUGCAAUUUGCUUUGGAUUUGAUCUUCAACUUUCAGCCUUACCACAAUAUAUUCAUGUCCAAUAAAUGAUGAUGUCAGGGACAUGUAAACUGAUGUAACUUCUUUUAUAUAAACACAGAUGUUACAGUUAGGGUUAGGUUCAUUUGUGAGUAAGAGAAACCUAAAGUAUGAUUUAAACAAAAUUAAAACACAUUUCUUUUGUAUGUAAAAGUCCAGGGGCAGGUAGCAUGUGCCAAGUAUGCCAGCUCUGGCCCAUAAAAUCCCCACAAAAGCAAAAGUCCUCCAGUAUACUGUUCCUACAUCCUUCGAGUAUGGCCUUUAGUCUCAUGAUCCAAUAUGGUGGAUCUAGCUCAAUAGAGCUAGAGCUCUAAUUAUCCUGUGUUCCAGGCAGAGGGUGCAGCAAGGGAUAAACAAGAAAAAGAAGAUAAAAGGUACAUACCAUUUUUUCAAAAGGAUCCUAGAAGGUCACAAAUAAACCAUCCACUCAUGUUCUAUCAGCCAGAACUAGUUACCUAGCAUCCUCUGUGGCAAGGAAGGCUGAGAGAGGUAGUCAUUAUUCUGGAUGGCUAUGUGCCCAGUGAAAAUUUGUAGGUUCUCAUUUUUUUUAAGAUUUUAUUUGUUUAUUUGAGAGAGAAAGCACGAUCAGGAGGGGUAAAGGCAGAGGGAAAAAGAAUCUCAAGCAAACUCCACUCUGAGUGUAGAGCCUGACGUAGGGCUCAAUCUCAUGACUCUGAGAUCACAACCUCGGCUGAAUCCAAGAAUUGGAUGAUCAACUGACUGCCCCACCCAGUGCCCCUAAAACUUGUGGGUUCUGAAAAGAAGAGAAUGAAUGUCUAACAUAGCCAUUAGUUCCUGCAACAACAUUCAAUAUACUAGAAACUGAAAAUACAAUAAAUGGAUAUUUUAAAAGGAGGGCAUCACUGAUGUCACUAAGUGCUAAUUAUGAGAAAUUUGCAGAACUCUGGCUGCCAGGAUUGCCAAGAAUAACAGGAGAACUGGGUGCACAGAGGUGAGCCACAAAGGGGAUGAAAAAGGCUGCCCAUAAGUUACUUGGAGAUGAGCUCGUAAGAGCUCAGUGGCUCUUUUCCUUUUCUUUGUAGGUAAGAAUGUGAAAGCAAAUUAACUGAUGCUUUCAGAAAGCAAUACAACAAUAAACACAGGCAUAUUCUUUUAUCCAAAAAACUCAUUUCUUAUACUUUCUUCAACAAUGAAACAAACUGUAUGCACAUAUGUUUGCUGAAGGAUAUUCACUGAGAAAACAUAUGCUUUACUAUAGGAUUGAAUUACUAUACAAAACACUGUAUUGUAUUGUAUUGUAUUGUAUUAUACAGCCAUCAAAAAUAAAAAGCAUGUUCAAACUAAAACUGUCUUAUGAAGCAAACAAACUUUUUUAUUAUAAUUAGAUACACAUUAAAUGUAUACAGUUGUAGACAUGAAUUUAACUUUUUUUUAACACUGAUGACUGAUUAGGGGCUCCAAUCCCCAGACCAGUGAAAAGCUAGGUGGGCUUUAUGUAAAGUUAUAGGAAUUUUAAAAAUAUAAAUAAUUUUCUGUUCUGUGUUCCCAAAGAAUAAAAAAAAUUCAUCAACAGAGACAAAGUUAAUAUCACAUAACGUGGGACACCUGGGUGGCUCAGUGGUUAAGUGUCUGCUUUCAGCUCAGGUUGUGACCCUGAGGUCCUGGGAUCAAGUCCCACAUCAGGCUCCCCAUGGGGAGCCUGCUUCUCCCUCUGCCUGUGUCUCUACCUCUUUCUCUGUGUCUUUCAUGAAUAAAUAAAUAAAAUCUUUUAAAAAAUGACAUAACGUGUAUGACUUUAACUAUAACUAUAAUCAGCUACAAAGCUGACUGCUCUGAAUUUACCUCCUGUACUUCUCUGUAUCUCCCAAUGGAACAAAUAAUGAGUAGAUUACUGACAACAUGGAGACUACAAAAGCAAAGGAGUCAAAUUAUAACAAAGAAAUAACAGGACAGAUGUAAACUGAAUGAUCAAAAUCCAAUCCUCACCUCCAGAAUAACAAUAAUUAAAACUACAAUAUUUUAUUUUAUUUUUUUUUUUUAAUUUUUAUUUAUUUAUGAUAGUCACACAGAGAGAGAGAGAGAGAGAGAGAGAGGCAGAGACAUAGGCAGAAGGAGAAGCAGGCUCCAUGCACCGGGAGCCCGACGUGGGAUUCGAUCCCGGGUCUCCAGGAUCGCGCCCUGGGCCAAAGGCAGGCGCCAAACCGCUGCGCCACCCAGGGAUCCCAAACUACAAUAUUUUAGAAAAGGUUAACCUCUUCUGAAAAAUUCGCUCUUCUUUCCUGAAAAAAAAAAAAAAAAGCUCUCU